CAAAAUGUAGCCUAAUUAAACCGCCUCGCUUACACCGAGUAAAUAUUCACACCCUGAUUCAUUUUGA
Molecule: transfer RNA, 67 nt
Filed under: Hyloscirtus colymba (La Loma treefrog)
Lineage: Eukaryota; Metazoa; Chordata; Amphibia; Anura; Hylidae
Description: tRNA-Val
Source: RNAcentral